CUGGUUCUGAUAACAUUGAGAAGAAAAUUCCUACUAUUUUUGGAUUGAAUAGAUAAGAGAUUUUGUGAGUUUUGUUAAGUCAUGUGUUGUAGCUUAAUUAUACACGAAUGAUAAUUCUUGGACCUUCACUUUCUCUAUUUCAUGAUAAUAUCUGAAGCCUCUCAUGUCCUAUUUUUUUAGUUUGAUCUAAAACCCUCGGUACCUCAUAGCAAAGCUAUGUUCCCC
Molecule: long non-coding RNA, 225 nt
Filed under: Elaeis guineensis (African oil palm)
Lineage: Eukaryota; Viridiplantae; Streptophyta; Magnoliopsida; Arecales; Arecaceae
Description: long non-coding RNA (EGUI_LNC010776)
Source: RNAcentral